UACGAAGGGGGCUAGCGUUGCUCGGAAUUACUGGGCGUAAAGCGCGCGUAGGCGGCUUUGUAAGUUAGAGGUGAAAGCCCAGGGCUCAACCCUGGAAUUGCCUUUAAGACUGCAUCGCUUGAACAUCGGAGAGGUAAGUGGAAUUCCGAGUGUAGAGGUGAAAUUCGUAGAUAUUCGGAAGAACACCAGUGGCGAAGGCGACUUACUGGACGAUUGUUGACGCUGAGGUGCGAAAGCGUGGGGAGCAAACAGG
Molecule: ribosomal RNA, 253 nt
Filed under: uncultured bacterium
Lineage: Bacteria
Description: partial 16S ribosomal RNA
Rfam family: Bacterial small subunit ribosomal RNA
Source: RNAcentral